CCGGGAAACUGGGGCUAAUACUCAAUAGGGUAAGGAUGUCUGGAAUGAUUUCUCACUCAAAAGGCUUUGGAUACAUGCUUCCAUUGUCGCCUGGGGAUGGGGCCGCGUCCGAUCAGGUUGUUGGUGAGGUAACGGCUCACCCAAGCCUAUAACCGGUACGGGCCGUGAGAGCGGUAGCCCGGAGAUGGGUACUGAGACAAGGACCCAGGCCCUACGGGGCGCAGCAGUCGCGAAAACUCCGCAAUGCACGAAAGUGUGACGGGGCUACCCCGAGUGCCAUCCGCUGAGGAUGGCUUUUCUUUGGUAUAACAAGCCAUUGGAAUAAGGAGAGGGCAAGACUGGUGUCAGCCGCCGCGGUAAUACCAGCUCUCCGAGUGGUAGGGAUGAUUAUUGGGCCUAAAGCAUCCGUAGCUGGCUGAACAAGUCCUCUGUUAAACCCACCGAUUUAAUCGUUGGUCUGCGGGGGAUACUGCUCGGCUAGGGGACGAGAGAGGCAGACGGUAUUCCCGGGGUAGGGGUGAAAUCCUAUAAUCCCGAGAAGACCACCAGUGGCGAAGGCUGUCUGCUAGAACGCGCCCGACGGUGAGGGAUGAAAGCUGGGGGAGCGAACCGGAUUAGAUACCCGGGUAGUCCCAGCUGUAAACGAUGCAGACUAGGUGUUUGGACGGCCACGUGCCGUUCUAGUGCCGCAGGGAAGCUGUUAAGUCUGC
RNAcentral lists this ribosomal RNA (710 nucleotides) under uncultured Bathyarchaeota archaeon. RNAcentral's name for it is "bacterial SSU rRNA". It matches the Rfam family "Archaeal small subunit ribosomal RNA", at positions 132 to 824 of the family's 1478-position model. Lineage: Archaea; Thermoproteati; Candidatus Bathyarchaeota. The record is from RNAcentral.